CAGCCAAGAAAAAGAUACUGGAUCAAGUGAUGCUUACACGGAGACUGCAAGAGGAGAAAGGCAUCCUAUUGUUGGAGAUGGCGCAGCAUUGCACAUGGUUGCAGAACAUGGCAGUUGCUCUAAAAAAUAAGGUGGCUGAGGAAGAUGUAGACAAGGGGAAUGUAGGACUUGGGUGCACCCUAAGAAGGAAGCAUGCUGAGGCGUCGGAGAGGUUGCAGGUGGUACUGCAGCAGUACAAGACUGCUUUAGGUCCUGAUGCUUCUUUCCUUCAACAUGAAGAGGAAAGUCAAAGUGGCCUAAGCAGUCCAGACAGCAGUGAGGAUGAAGAAGGAAACAUCAUUUAGAUUGCUCUCAAGCACGAAUAUCCGCCAAGACUUGAUGUGCUAUCAGAAAUGUAAAUACUUUACUGACUUUAUAUUUAGAGAUUGUAUUCAUACUCCUCAAUGGAAGAUCACCCUUGAAUAUGUUGACCAUAUGACUUUUCCCUAUGCCGCAGCAUCAGGCCAAACAUUUCACUUGUACACAACUUAAAUGUUAUUGAACAAAAUGCUCAGCGUCCCUGGAAUGCAUCCUGAGCAAUGAACCAUUCACUUUUGAUCCUUUUUGAAACACUAGAAUGUAAAUUCCUAAAUGUCCAAGUAUAUCUUGCUGGUUACCAAACAACUUGGUGAGCACAUCAUUGUCCAAGAGCAGGAGGUCUUUCCCUUUUUUCCCAGAACGGGAUGCCUAUGCAUUAUUAUUUUCGAUCUCUUAUAGGAUUGAC
Molecule: long non-coding RNA, 763 nt
Organism: Trematomus bernacchii (emerald rockcod)
Lineage: Eukaryota; Metazoa; Chordata; Actinopteri; Perciformes; Nototheniidae
Exons: 3
Source: RefSeq, a predicted model, not a curated record